Molecule: unclassified non-coding RNA, 405 nt
Filed under: soil metagenome
Description: partial contains 5.8S ribosomal RNA, internal transcribed spacer 2, and large subunit ribosomal RNA
Rfam family: 5.8S ribosomal RNA (bases 1-121)
Source: RNAcentral
GAUGAAGAACGUAGCGAAAUGCGAUAAGUAAUGUGAAUUGCAGAAUUCAGUGAAUCAUCGAAUCUUUGAACGCACCUUGCGCCCUUUGGCCAUUCCGAAGGGCAUGCCUGUUUGAGUAUCAUGAACACCUCAACUCUUUAUGGUUUUCCAUGAUGAGCUUGGACUCUGGGGGUUUUGCUGGCUCACAGUCGGCUCCUCUAAAAUGAAUCAGCUUACCAGUGUUUGGUGGGUAUCAUGGGUGUGAUAACUAUCUACGCUUGUGGUUUUUCCACCAGGUAACCUUCAGCAGUGGAGGUUCGCUGGAGCUCAUAGAUGUCUCUCCUCAGUGAGGUCAGCCCUUUGAAUGUUUGAUCUCAAAUCAGGUAGGACUACCCGCUGAACUUAAGCAUAUCAAUAAGCGGAGGA